GCCGCCAUAGCUCAGUGGUAGAGCACUUCAUUGGUAAUGAAGAGGUCGAAGGUUCGAUUCUUUCUGGCGGCACCA
Molecule: transfer RNA, 75 nt
Filed under: Sphingobacteriia bacterium
Lineage: Bacteria; Pseudomonadati; Bacteroidota; Sphingobacteriia
Description: tRNA-Thr
Rfam family: tRNA
About the family: Transfer RNA (tRNA) molecules are approximately 80 nucleotides in length. Their secondary structure includes four short double-helical elements and three loops (D, anti-codon, and T loops).
Source: RNAcentral